This 392-nucleotide ribosomal RNA is filed under the name uncultured bacterium. RNAcentral's name for it is "bacterial SSU rRNA". It matches the Rfam family "Bacterial small subunit ribosomal RNA", at positions 28 to 424 of the family's 1533-position model. The record is from RNAcentral.
GACGAACGCUGGCGGCGUGCUUAACACAUGCAAGUCGAGCGGUAAGGCCCUUUCGGGGGUACACGAGCGGCGAACGGGUGAGUAACACGUGGGUGACCUGCCCUCAGCUCUGGGAUAAGCCUGGGAAACCGGGUCUAAUACUGGAUAUGACUCCAUGACGCAUGUUGUGGGGUGGAAAGCCUUGUGCGGCUGAGGAUGGGCCCNCGGCCUAUCAGCUUGUUGGUGGGGUGAGGGCCUACCAAGGCGACGACGGGUAGCCGGCCUGAGAGGCGACCGGCCACACUGGGACUGAGACACGGCCCGGGACUCCUACGGGAGGCGAGCAGUGGGGAAUCUUGCGCAAUGGGCAAAGCCUGACGCAGCGACGCCGCGUGAGGGAUGACGGCCUGGUU